UUCGCAAUGCCCGAAAGGGUGACGAAGCGACGCCGCGUGGGUGAGGAAGGCCUUCGGGUUGUAAAGCCCUGUCAGGAGUUAAGAAAUGUAAGUGCGCUAAUAUCGCAUUUACUUGACGAAGGCUCCAAAGGAAGCCACGGCUAACUCUGUGCCAGCAGCCGCGGUAAUACAGAGGUGGCAAGCGUUGUUCGGAAUUAUUGGGCGUAAAGGGCACGUAGGUGGGUUUGUAAGUCAGAUGUGAAAGCCUUCUGUUCAACGGAAGAAUUGCAUCUGAAACUGCAAAUCUUGAGUAUAGGAGGGGAGAAUGGAACUUCUGGUGGAGCGGUGAAAUGCGUAGAUAUCAGAAGGAACGCCGGCGGCGAAAGCGAUUCUCUGGUCUAUUACUGACACUCAGUGUGCGAAAGCUAGGGGAGCAAACGGGAUUAGAUACCCCGGUAGUCCUAGCUGUAAACGAUGGGCACUAAGUAGAGGGGUUUU
RNAcentral lists this ribosomal RNA (477 nucleotides) under uncultured anaerobic ammonium-oxidizing bacterium. Its description in RNAcentral is "bacterial SSU rRNA". It matches the Rfam family "Bacterial small subunit ribosomal RNA", at positions 365 to 832 of the family's 1533-position model. The record is from RNAcentral.